ACGGCCAUACAAUGCUGAAUAUACCGGUUCUCGUUAGAUCAUCGAAGUCAAGCAUCAUUGGGCGCGGUCAGUACGCGGUCAGUACUUGACCACCUGGGAACACCGCGUGCAGU
Non-coding RNA from Caerostris darwini, 113 nucleotides. Lineage: Eukaryota; Metazoa; Arthropoda; Arachnida; Araneae; Araneidae. The record is from the annotation of a GenBank genome assembly.